CACUGACCAAAGAGAGAGACCAGCUACAGACCAGCUACAACACACUGACCAGAGAGAGAGACCAGCUACAAUCUUUAGUUCAGAAAGUGUGUCCUCAAGGAUGGAAGAAGCUUGGUAGCAGUUGUUACUACGUCUCUACUGACUACAAAUCCUGGGAGGAGAGCAGACAGGACUGCAGAAAUAGAGGAGCACACUUGGUGGUCAUCAACAGCCAAGAGAAACAGACAUUAGUCAAUUGGUUAUGUGGACGAAAGAACUAUGCCUGGAUUGGUCUGACUGACUCUGUUUCUGAGGGGACCUGGAAAUGGGUGGACGACACACCACUGACCACAAAGUAUUGGAACAGUGGAGAUCCUAAUGGUGGAAGAGCUGAGAACUGUGUGUAUUUCUACUCCUGGACAUCAGACAAAGGAGAAUGGUGGGACUAUGACUGUUCCUAUAAAUACAGAUGGAUCUGUGAGAAAUAGGAUUCAUCCUCGGUACUCUCAACUGCUAAAUAGGAUUAUGAUAAGUACUAUCAAUCGUAAACUAUUUUCUGCUUAUUCUAUUUACCUUGUCAAGUACAUACAAUAUAUUACGAUGCAAAUGUAUAAUACAUUAUAAUAAAAAUAUCAAAAAAUAUACAAUAACAAUACAAUGAACUGAUAACAGAAUAACUUUUCUCUCUGUUGUUGUGGAAAUUCACCACUAAGGACUCAAAUUCAAAGGAAAUGAAUCAAUCUUUAUUAUCUCAGUCAUCGAGGUUCACUGACUCAAUACAAGGCUGAUGUUAAUUUUUAUUUGUAUUACUUUUUAGUUUAGUCUACUUGCUAAAUGUUUUUGUGAACUCUUCUUGAACUGCGCUGUUAGUUGAGGGCUUGUAAGUAAGCAUUUCACGGUAAAGUCUACACUUCUUGUAUUCGGAGCAUGUGACUAAUAAAGUUUGAUUUGAUUUGAGACCCUUUAUACUGCAACACAAACAAGUCAUAUAAGCACGGUUGGUUCCUGCAUGAGACUGACUGAUACCACACCAGGCUUCUUACCUUGAAACUGAGAUACUCCUUUGGGUUCCCAGAACAAUGUUCUGGGCGCACUAAGGAAUUGCAUGGACAGUGUAGUGUGGAUUCCUCCCAUGUACAGUCAAUCAGUCACUCGCAUGAAUCCAACCAAGAUGGUUAUUAGAAAAGCAGCAUUAUUCUUUACAUACGAGUGGAUAAACACAGAGAAUGUCACACUCUACUGUAUAAUAGUUGAUUUAACAUGGAGCCUAGAAGGACUCUUCUCUACUGUAUAAUAGUUGAUCUAACACGG
This is a non-coding RNA of Salmo salar (Atlantic salmon), 1290 nucleotides long. The record is from RefSeq and is a predicted model, not a curated record. Lineage: Eukaryota; Metazoa; Chordata; Actinopteri; Salmoniformes; Salmonidae.